GAUAAAUGAUGACAUGUUAUUUGCUACUCUUGACUGCUGAAUGACGACAGUAUACCACCAAGAUCGCUGAUUC
Eurytemora carolleeae is the source of this 73-nucleotide small nucleolar RNA. RefSeq annotates it as small nucleolar RNA SNORD24. Lineage: Eukaryota; Metazoa; Arthropoda; Copepoda; Calanoida; Temoridae. The record is from RefSeq and is a predicted model, not a curated record. The transcript has a single exon.